UACGGGGGGGGCAAGCGUUGUUCGGAAUUACUGGGCGUAAAGGGUUCGUAGGUGGCUUGCUAAGUCAGACGUGAAAUCCCUCGGCUCAACCGGGGAACUGCGUCUGAGACUGGCGAGCUUGAGUGCAGGAGAGGAACGCGGAAUUCCAGGUGUAGCGGUGAAAUGCGUAGAUAUCUGGAGGAACACCGGUGGCGAAGGCGGCGUUCUGGACUGCAACUGACACUGAGGAACGAAAGCCAGGGGAGCAAACGGG
RNAcentral lists this ribosomal RNA (253 nucleotides) under uncultured bacterium. RNAcentral's name for it is "partial 16S ribosomal RNA". It matches the Rfam family "Bacterial small subunit ribosomal RNA", at positions 524 to 776 of the family's 1533-position model. The record is from RNAcentral.